Molecule: non-coding RNA, 45 nt
Filed under: Schistosoma margrebowiei
Lineage: Eukaryota; Metazoa; Platyhelminthes; Trematoda; Strigeidida; Schistosomatidae
Source: RNAcentral
AUCCAAUAGACCAGUCUCAAAUAAGAUGAAACGCUCGUCUUGGAU